Molecule: long non-coding RNA, 949 nt
Filed under: Mytilus galloprovincialis (Mediterranean mussel)
Lineage: Eukaryota; Metazoa; Mollusca; Bivalvia; Mytilida; Mytilidae
Source: RNAcentral
UCUAAUAGUUGGAAACACAGGAAGGGUGUUAUGCUAUUAUCAUUUAUAAUUUCCAUGACUACACAUAAUCACAUAUUAACUUUACCUAUACAGACCUUUCAUAUUAUAGAUUGUGUAUUAUAAUCUUUUUUAACAUUAAUUAUUCACUUUAAUAUAGUUUUUAUGAAACUUCUAUAUUUCACCUGCAAUUAAGAUAUAAGAGUGGGGUGUUUAUAGAAAUAAGGUUGUCUCCCCUGGAUUCAUAUGUCUGUUAUAUUUAAAGUACAGCCUCUUAGAAACAUUACAAAGGAGUAUUCAGAUUCCAUUUGAAAAAUAAUGAUUUCUCAUCUAACCUUUUAAUUGACGCUAAGGAGGGCAAACGAAUCUUUGAAAUAAAGCGGUUUAAUUUUCAAUACAAAGGCCCUGGUCUGGUUUGAAACUACUUCUAUAUAAAAUUGCUGCCCAUCUAAUACCUUGUUGACUAUAUGGUAUGGGUUUUGCUCAUUGUUAAAGGCCAUUCAAUGAGUUAAUUGUUUAAUUAUUCUAUAGACAGAUAUACAUUAUCCUGACUGCCAAAACCCACAGAAAAACAUUCAAAAUGUAAAAAAAGUAGUGAAAAGAAGGGCAUUUUAUGGAAAACAAACCAUUUGAAAGUUAUAUUUAAAGCACUAAAUGUGAUUGUUGGAGCGACGAAAUAUAAAGCUUGAUUUAAACAAGUGAGAUACGGGUUUAAAUGCAAAAAUCAAACUGAGAGAAAAUAAUGUGAUACAGGAAACCGCAGUCAUUCAUUUUUACCUUACCUUAAAGGCAAAUUAAAUCUUGACACAAGAGCAGUAUAACAAAAUGACUUUGAAUCACAGACAGUAAUAUUAUAUGGACACAUUUUCAUCAUUUUAGGUUAUAUUUAGACCUAAAGAUGUAAUUUUUAUUAUGAAUGUUUAUUAGGAUCAACUUCUUGUUCUUUUAUAGC